GUGCACCAGUCGAGAAACUCUGCAAUGCGCGAAAGCGCGACAGGGUUACCCGAGUGUCGUCCGCUGAGGACGACUUUUCCCAGUGUAGAUAGCUGGGGGAAUAAGGAGAGGGCAAGUCUGGUGUCAGCCGCCGCGGUAAUACCAGCUCUCCGAGUGGUGGGGACGCUUAUUGGGCCUAAAGCAUCCGUAGCCGGUCUAACAAGUCCCUUGUUAAAUCCAGCGAUUCAAUCGCUGGACUGCAAGGGAUACUGUUAGACUAGGGGGCGGGAGAGGCCGACGGUAUUCCUGGGGUAGGGUGAAAUCCUAUAAUCCCGGGAGGACCACCAGUGGCGAAGGCUGUCGGCUAGAACGCGCCCGACGGUGAGGGAUGAAAGUUGGGGGAGCGAACCGGAUUAGAUACCCCGGGUAGU
RNAcentral lists this ribosomal RNA (410 nucleotides) under uncultured microorganism. Its description in RNAcentral is "bacterial SSU rRNA". It matches the Rfam family "Archaeal small subunit ribosomal RNA", at positions 330 to 745 of the family's 1478-position model. The record is from RNAcentral.